This 478-nucleotide transfer RNA is filed under the name Ralstonia solanacearum. Its description in RNAcentral is "partial 16S-23S ribosomal RNA intergenic spacer". The stretch from base 61 to 134 matches the Rfam family "tRNA". The record is from RNAcentral. Lineage: Bacteria; Pseudomonadati; Pseudomonadota; Betaproteobacteria; Burkholderiales; Burkholderiaceae.
UAAGAGCGUGCAUCCUAGUUAGGCGUCCACACUUAUCGGUUUGUUUGAUGUUACAGCCAAGGGUCUGUAGCUCAGGUGGUUAGAGCACCGUCUUGAUAAGGCGGGGGUCGUAGGUUCAAGUCCUACCAGACCCACCAAGUUACGGGCGGCGGAGAGCGAUCUUGCCGUGAACUGGGGGAUUAGCUCAGCUGGGAGAGCACCUGCUUUGCAAGCAGGGGGUCGUCGGUUCGAUCCCGUCAUCCUCCACCAACACCUUGUGGUAGCCAAACGCAAGCAUCGAGAGAUCGGUGUUUGCGUUUGGCAUUGCCAAGACGAGUAGUAACUCGGCUGUUCUUUAACAAUAUGGAAUGUAGUAAAGGUGUCGCGGCGCGUUGAUGAGGCGCGCAAUUUAAACGCGACACUGGGUUGUGAUUGUAUCAACCAGUAUUACGAGUGAUCGAAAGACCGCUUGGAAUACGGCACAACGCGAGAACUCAGC